AAGAGUCUCGCAGUGGACAUUUCAAAACUCUGACUGGUUAAAAUUGUAGCGUCUUGUAUACCUACAUGUCCCUAGAUUAUAAUUAACUGAUUGUUUAAAGUGUCUGUCUUUGUGGGUCAGCCCUGCGAUUGACUGGUAACCAGUCCCUGGUGUACUCCACCUCUUGCCCAUAGUCAGCUGAGAUGAUGGAUAAGCGGUAUAGAAAAUGGAUGGAUCCUUUAAAGUCAACAAUUUCUCCUUUUCUAGGUACAGAUAUUUCAGUAGGUGAGGAGGUUGCAAUUAAGUUGGAAUGUGUGAAGACUAAACACCCCCAGUUGCACAUCGAGAGCAAGAUCUACAAGAUGAUGCAAGGCGGAGGUGACGUAUCGGUGGGCAUUCCAACAAUAAAGUGGUGUGGAGCAGAAGGUGAUUACAAUGUAAUGGUGAUGGAGUUACUGGGGCCCAGCCUGGAGGAUCUCUUCAACUUUUGCUCCCACAAGUUCAGCCUCUAACUCAUUUGUCUGAUUGAUUCUGACCAGUCAGGGGAAAGGGACACAGGCCCUCUGGGGAUGGGGACUCCAGUGACAAUAUCCAGUUUGUAGCUGGUCUCCAUCUUGUAGUUCCUUGAUGAGCCUCCACAGUGCAACCAAGCAGGCAGACAAAGUCCUGAAGCAAUCAGAAAUAAUAAUACUACCAUUACUACUACUACCGCCACAGCUACCAAUGGAAGCCAGAAUGAUUGCUCACAGCAUUGCUGCCUCCCUCAGAAUUUUGUACAAGCUGUUUCUCUCUUUCUCUUUUUUGUGUGUUGGUCUUGACUACCCUAAACACUGAAGGAUGUCAGAUCUCAGGACUGUUCUUUAUCCACUUUUUCAGGAGACAUUUGCCUCACCACUACCACCACCAUCGCCACCAUUGUGAAUGGGCAGUUCUUUGUACAGGGCAAACAUGGCUUCCAAGCAGUCACUGACUGACAGAACAAUCAUUUAAUGCCACUGGCUUCUCCUCAUCAAUGAUCUUUUCCACUGUUGUUGUCUGAUAGUUCAUACCUGAUUAUAAAACAACUUUUUUCUCUUUGUUACUGUAAGGUUUAUCAGGCUAAACCAGCAGCUCUUCAGUGGAUAUUAUGAAUGCUUAGUUUUUUGAAUGUGAUGUUUUUCAUCGGUAUUUGCAGUUUCCAUCAACUCUUUCCACCAGUUUUUCAAAAUCACUACUAAUGAUAGCUCUCUUGCAUAACAUUACGCCCAUUCGAAUUAAAUAAAAAAGUACUUGCAUGUUUCACCGGUGAGUCUUCAGAGUCAGUUGUGAAGACUCAAAAGCUAGUUGAACCCUUGAAUGUGCCAAAAAUAUUCAUUGGUACCUUGGACGCAGGAGGCCAUGUAUUCGCCCAUUAGUUGUUGUUAUCUCUGUUCAUCUCUAGGCCCUGGUGUACUGUCCACUGAGCCCUGUUCUCUUUCUAGUGUUCUGUACAAAAGAUGUGCCCUUUCAGGGUAUGAUCUUGAUAUAUUUUACAAUCCUUAUUCCAAAAAUCUUGUGUCUGUAUAAAAUGUAAGUGAAGUCACAAGUACCUAUUUGAAAAUAUCAACACAUAACUUUAAAGAGAGAAGUUUUGCUUUGUUUGACAAGCUUGUAUGACAGCAAAUAGCUGACUUUUAUUGGUGCACUCUGUAAAAAUAACAAAACAAUUAAGAAAAGGCGAGUUUUAGGGCUUUUUCUUCUCUUUCUUGUGAUAAGUUUGUGGUAUAGUUAGUAUGAUUGGUCGAAAAAUGUCUCUGACAUAUUCAUUGGACACUGCAAAAUCAAACACUCUGCCUUUGAACAGACACUUAAGCCCAAUAUUUAGAUUUCUUCCCCUGGUUAAAAAUGUGACAUUCAAGGUCAAUUUUUCUCUUUUUUUGAAGCAUUCAUUUUUACCCCUGUCUUCACAACUACUAACACAAGGUGAGUGAGUCAACUUAGACAGUGCCCUCUGUUGGAAUCAAGUUGAAUGGUAGUACAGAGUCACUGUAGCUGCUCAUCUUGAGAUUCAUCACCAUAAUGCUGACUUUUUUAGUCAGUCACUUUUUCAUUUUUUUUAGUAGUUGUAGUAUUACUAUUUAUGUGUUUUAGUAAACAUUUUAUUUUUCUUUGUGGAUGUUUCCGGACAGAUUGAGAUGAUCCUUGGAUCAGUUGUAGUCCAGGGGCUCUAUUUUGCCUAUUUCUGUUGUAUACAUCUUUAACAAAGUGGUGAACCUGAAACGUGUUCACAUGUGGAAUGUUCUAAAUGUUUUUGUCUUU
Scatophagus argus is the source of this 2256-nucleotide long non-coding RNA. RefSeq lists it as uncharacterized. NCBI's taxonomy places the organism in Eukaryota, Metazoa, Chordata, Actinopteri, Scatophagidae. The record is from RefSeq and is a predicted model, not a curated record. The transcript has 4 exons.